AUGAACGCUGGCGGCGUGCCUAAUACAUGCAAGUCGAGCGAACGGACGAGAAGCUUGCUUCUCUGAUGUUAGCGGCGGACGGGUGAGUAACACGUGGAUAACCUACCUAUAAGACUGGGAUAACUUCGGGAAACCGGAGCUAAUACCGGAUGAUAUUUUGAACCGCAUGGUUCAAAAGUGAAAGACGGUCUUGCUGUCACUUAUAGAUGGAACCGCGCUGCAUUAGCUAGUUGGUAAGGUAACGGCUUACCAAGGCAACGAUGCAUAGCCGACCUGAGAGGGUGAUCGGCCACACUGGAACUGAGACACGGUCCAGACUCCUACGGGAGGCAGCAGUAGGGAAUCUUCCGCAAUGGGCGAAAGCCUGACGGAGCAACGCCGCGUGAGUGAUGAAGGUCUUCGGAUCGUAAAACUCUGUUAUUAGGGAAGAACAUAUGUGUAAGUAACUGUGCACAUCUUGACGGUACCUAAUCAGAAAGCCACGGCUAACUACGUG
This 496-nucleotide ribosomal RNA is filed under the name uncultured bacterium. RNAcentral's name for it is "partial 16S ribosomal RNA". It matches the Rfam family "Bacterial small subunit ribosomal RNA", at positions 29 to 507 of the family's 1533-position model. The record is from RNAcentral.